This 88-nucleotide transfer RNA is filed under the name Helicobacter heilmannii. Its description in RNAcentral is "tRNA-Ser-TGA". It matches the Rfam family "tRNA". From Rfam's summary of the family: Transfer RNA (tRNA) molecules are approximately 80 nucleotides in length. Their secondary structure includes four short double-helical elements and three loops (D, anti-codon, and T loops). Further hydrogen bonds mediate the characteristic L-shaped molecular structure. tRNAs have two regions of fundamental functional importance: the anti-codon, which is responsible for specific mRNA codon recognition, and the 3' end, to which the tRNAs corresponding amino acid is attached (by aminoacyl-tRNA synthetases). tRNAs cope with the degeneracy of the genetic code in two manners: having more than one tRNA (with a specific anti-codon) for a particular amino acid; and 'wobble' base-pairing, i.e. permitting non-standard base-pairing at the 3rd anti-codon position. RNAcentral also lists the same sequence under 2 other names. Lineage: Bacteria; Pseudomonadati; Campylobacterota; Epsilonproteobacteria; Campylobacterales; Helicobacteraceae. The record is from RNAcentral.
CGGGAGAUGGCUGAGUGGUUGAAAGCGGCGGUCUUGAAAACCGUUGAGGGUAAAACCUCCGGGGGUUCGAAUCCCUCUCUCCCGGCCA